Long non-coding RNA from Bubalus bubalis (water buffalo), 2953 nucleotides. RefSeq lists it as uncharacterized. The record is from RefSeq and is a predicted model, not a curated record. NCBI's taxonomy places the organism in Eukaryota, Metazoa, Chordata, Mammalia, Artiodactyla, Bovidae. The transcript has 3 exons.
CCAUUUCCUUCUGCAGGGGACCUUCCCAAACCAGGGAUCAACCCCGUGUCUCUUGCAUUGGCAGGCAGAUUCUUUACCACUGAGCCACCAGGGAAGCAAGAUGCCAUGCAGCUAAGCCCGAGCACCAUAACUGGAGAAAGCGCACAUGCCACACAACAAAGACCCAGCACAGCCAAAAAAAUUAUAAAACUGAAAAGAUCAACAGGCAAAAAGAGCAAAAUAAAAACCAGCACCGGGACCAGUCCCGGGGUAACGGCCCUCUGAGCCUCUUUAGAAACCCCCCCACCCUUUACAUCCCUUCCUGAUUGAUCACCUAUUUAGUUGCCCAGCCAAAGCUAAAAUCAGUGGCUUUCACCCUGACUAUGCUUUAGGAUCACCUGGAGAAUAUUUAAAUAAAGUUUAUAGUUUGGAUCCCACCUCAAACCAACUAAGUCAGGAUCCCUAGAGGUGGGGCCCUGGCAUCUAUAUUUUUAAAAAAUCCUUAGGUGAUGCUCUUGAUGCCAUUGCUUUGACCCACUGGCUUAGAGCCUCUGAGCUGACAGCUGAGGGUCAGAGAGGCAUCCUUCUCUCCAUGGCGCCCAUGGCCUCACCUUUGCAGCUCGUAUCCCAACAGCCUGGCUAAGAACGUUUAGGAAAAGAGAAAAGCAGCAUGUGUGCAGCUCAUUUCUUUAGCAGGUCUACACGUCCUGCCCUACUAACACUCAUCUGACCCUCAGAUAACUCCAUCUGAAUCCCAGGUUGCCCAGUGCGGAAAGCACAGGCCAAAGCUGAAGUCCUCGCUGCCCUCUGUGUUUUCUAAACACCUGCGGGGAACACAGUGCCCUCCAGCAAGGCAGCAUCAGAUCAGGGCAGCUGCUUUGGACGGAGGCUGGGCGUGGCAAAUAAAAGCAAACCACAGUGGUCAGCAAUUCAUCCAAGCGCUCCCCGGAAGAGUGCCCUGAGCAGGCUGAGCUGGAGCUUCACUCUUCCUCCAAGAGCGCAGUGCCCUUUUAUCUCAGUCCUGGGCAGGUGUGGUAGCCAGUUAUCCUUCCCCUUCAUUUUCAUCCCCUCACCUGAUCCUUUAGCCUAAGCUCUGACUCCAGGGUCCACGGCCCACACCACUGACCUCUCAUUGAUAAGCAGUGCCUACAAGGGACCAACCAUCACAGACCUAUCUCGGGUGGAAAGAGCUGGUAACAGUAACUGUGGAAAAAUCUCAGAUCUCUGGGAGAAAAGUUUCCAUAAAGUGAUUCACUCAAUCAGGCAAAUGAACUUCCAUCUCCUCUAAUGUGCCAGGCACUGUGGACACAGCGCUUCCCUCAAGACAUGACAUAGACUGAGUUCUUUCUGAACAAUAACAUUUAAUGGCUUUAUUAUCCAGUGAGGAAAACUGAAGAGAAUCAGAACAACUCUCCAAUGACUUGAUUGAGUACCCAGCUCAAUAUCUACUUUGCUGUCAUUUAAAAGAUGUCCCUCUUGGGAAAGGACAGGAUUCUGUGGCAUUUUGUGAGCCUCCUGGGAGCUGCCUUGCACUCUGACUCCGGAAAUUUUCCCACAUCCCCUGAGUCUUCAUUUCCCGUCUCAGAGGUUACCCGCUUGCGUCAAGCUGAUUUCUUUGCUGCUGUUGAUGGAAGCCAUGGGUUUACCAUCUGUGUGCGCUUGGACCACUCAUCUUCCUCUCCAGUCUCCUCCAAAGAAUAUGUUUAGGAAAAAUAAACACCUACGGCUCCCAAAGACACUGAAAAUUGGUCCAAGGACUCCAACAUUUCCUUUCUUAAAAAAGAAGAAGAAGAUCAUCGCCUUUGUAGACCCUCCCUAAAUCUUCUUCCUGCAGAACAGCCCACCCAGGGGACCGCCUCUAUCUGGCUCUGAUCCUCAGUAAACUUGUUUUCCAGGCUGUCGUGGGUGUUCUUGUGGAGUGACAGAAGACUCGGGUAUUCAGCAGCACCAUCUCAACAGCCACCGGAAGUGGGAAAAGAUCAUCCAAGUGCACGAUCAUCACACACUGAGGCACAGAGUGUCCGUCGAGACGAACUUUACCAGGUGGGGAAAUGCAUAAGCAAGAAGCUGACAGUCAACGAGACAGUCAAGCGAAUGGACCACUUGUGAGUGAAGAGCCAGUGAAUUCCCGAACCUUGUAAUAUUUCUCCCUCCUUAUUGUGAACAAAAAUGAAGAAAAAUAUUUUCUCUGCAUACUUUAUCUUCAUCCCCUCAUUUCACCAUCUUUUCCCGCUUGUAUUACAAUUAUUACAGUUAUUGCCACUGUAUUUUUCCUCUUGUAUUACAAUGACUAAAGAAAAUAUUUUCCCUGCAUAAUUUAUCUCCAUCCCCUGACUUCGCCAUCUUUUCUCCCUUUGUUACAAUUACUGCCAGGGUCUCUCAAGAGUCAUCCCAGAGAACUACAAGGACAAAGGUAGAAAGGAGAAGCACCUUGGCUGAGACAGGGAUGGAGGGACUCUGUUCAACCCAACCAGAUUGUUAGGAAACAGCCUCAUUGAGCUAAUCCAGGUUUUCUCCCUGCCCUCCUGCACCUACCCCAGGGAGGUGCAGGAGGAUAGGGUGUCUGCAGUCCCUGCCGUGGGAACUAGCAAUGGGUCUGAAGCUGGCAGCAUCCUGCUCCUUCUUCUGAAACAGAAGAGCUUCAAAGUUAGGAGGGAAAUAAAUGCCUGUGAAAUACCAGCUUUCAGUCAUGUUCCCUUUCUUCUCUCAGAAACAGACUUAAGCAGUCUUUACCAAGGAGUGCAGGACCGCUGGGGGCAAAAGCACGCUGCACAGAGAUGAAAAAUCCUAAGAAUCUCAGCACAGCACACUACCACACUAAACCCAACCAUCAACAGCUUGCUUUGUCUAAAUACACUUUCCUUUUUAGAGUUUACUUCCAGAUUUACAGAAUUAUUGUGAAGAGAGAGUUCCUGUAUACCCAGUUUCUCCUAUUAUUAACAUCUGAUGUUCAUAUGGCACAUUUCUUACAGUU